This 61-nucleotide transfer RNA is filed under the name Plectus acuminatus. RNAcentral's name for it is "tRNA-Lys". The record is from RNAcentral. Lineage: Eukaryota; Metazoa; Nematoda; Chromadorea; Plectida; Plectidae.
CAACUUGUAGCUUAUAUUAAAGCAUUUGCCUUUUAAGCAUAGGAAGGUUAUCCCUGGUUAU